This 408-nucleotide long non-coding RNA is filed under the name Cyanistes caeruleus (blue tit). RNAcentral describes it as "lncRNA (ENSCCEG00000023949.1)". Lineage: Eukaryota; Metazoa; Chordata; Aves; Passeriformes; Paridae. The record is from RNAcentral.
CAAAGACAAGCCUCUGUGGUGGAUUGAGACUGUCUUCAUUCUGAAUUGUUAUCUCCACCUCUGUGGAGGUGCCUUUCUCUCUCCUUAGUUGCUAAGUAUGCUUACAUUUCCAAACAAAGUGCUCUGUUAGGUACAUAAACAUAGCUGACCCCGAAGUUUUUGAUGAUGGCUAUUGGAGACAACAACUCCAUCUACCUCUUCACUUUGUCCUCACUGAGCUUGAUGUGACCAUCCAUGCAACUGACUCAGGACCAUCCUGAUGCCAAACUUGCUUCAACCUGGCACUCUGGUGUUACCAUGUCAUCAGCACUGGCAUUUAUUGAAGAAGCACAUGGCAGUCAAAAGUUACAUUCCUCUGUCUGUGUGGGCUUGCAUAAAGUAAAAAAGGCAUUGCCAAUAUUCAUUUAA